AAGAGAUACCAGAAGGGAAACUGGGAAGCUGGAGGAGAAGGGGAGAGGACCAUGCCUUCCCUAGACAAAAGACAAAGCCUUUUGCUUCUGCUAUAAAUAGGACACCCUCAGGAAAGCUGGAGCUUCUAAUUCUUCCAGUGAUGGAACUCAGCAUAUGUCUGAGGAGCAGAGAAUUCAGAAGCUCCCAUGGGCCUCCCACAGCUGGAAUCUAAAACAACCACAGAAGUCUCAGAAAAGAGAAUAUAAAAGCAUACAACAAAAUAAAGGACUCAUAAGAGUACAGGGAUCACAUACAUGAAGUUGAACAAUGUUCGGUUUUAAUUCUUCACAAUUAUCAUUUGUAAGAUUGUAGACAACAGAUCACAUGUGGGAGAUGCUUGAAGUGGAGAAGUGUGUCUCCAAAAGUGUGAUAUCUACAAUGAAUCAUUUGGAAAGAGUCCUCAGCAAGCUGUGGUGUCUUAUGCCUGUAAUCCCAGCAGUUUGGGAGGUCGAUGUGGGUGGAUCGCUUGUGCCCAGGAAUUCAAGAUCACC
RNAcentral lists this long non-coding RNA (531 nucleotides) under Homo sapiens (human). RNAcentral describes it as "HSALNT0303771". Lineage: Eukaryota; Metazoa; Chordata; Mammalia; Primates; Hominidae. The record is from RNAcentral.